AACGAACGCUGGCGGCAGGCUUAACACAUGCAAGUCGAGCGCCCCGCAAGGGGAGCGGCAGACGGGUGAGUAACGCGUGGGAACGUACCCUUUACUACGGAAUAACGCAGGGAAACUUGUGCUAAUACCGUAUGUGCCCUUUGGGGGAAAGAUUUAUCGGUAAAGGAUCGGCCCGCGUUGGAUUAGCUAGUUGGUGGGGUAAAGGCCUACCAAGGCGACGAUCCAUAGCUGGUCUGAGAGGAUGAUCAGCCACAUUGGGACUGAGACACGGCCCAAACUCCUACGGGAGGCAGCAGUGGGGAAUAUUGGACAAUGGGCGAAAGCCUGAUCCAGCCAUGCCGCGUGAGUGAUGAAGGCCUUAGGGUUGUAAAGCUCUUUCACCGGGGAAGAUAAUGACGGUACCCGGAGAAGAAGCCCCGGCUAACUUCGUGCCAGCCGCCGCUGUAA
Molecule: ribosomal RNA, 447 nt
Filed under: uncultured bacterium
Lineage: Bacteria
Description: partial 16S ribosomal RNA
Rfam family: Bacterial small subunit ribosomal RNA
Source: RNAcentral